Non-coding RNA from Cydia strobilella, 75 nucleotides. The record is from the annotation of a RefSeq genome assembly. Lineage: Eukaryota; Metazoa; Arthropoda; Insecta; Lepidoptera; Tortricidae.
GGCCGGGUGGUCCUAGUCAGGUCAGGACGUUAGCCCGUUAAGCUGAAGAUGCGGGUUCGAUUCCCGCCUCGGCCA